CUUGGAUUCCAGAAGUGUUUUGCCAUGACUGAGGUUUCACUCUCCUAGACGCAGUCCAAAAGCGUAAUGAGAGACUAUCUCGACUUCCAUUACAUUACAGAUCAACGGAGGGAUAGGAACUAUUCCUAUUUAUGUUUCAGUGGAAGGAGCAAGGAGCAUCAACAUUUCUUGGCUCAGGAUUGGCCCAAAGGUCAUUGUCCAGCCCUUUUCUUUCCAUGGACAUAAAUUUAAAAGAGGCAAAGAAAUGAGGGAAGAUGUAGAGGCAGAAUGGUGUGCAACUGCUGGUCUCAAUGACUACCAGCACCCUAGAACUGAACCCACAAGACCUUGGUGUUCCUUUCUGUCUGCUGUCUCAAAUAGAUGUGAAAC
Long non-coding RNA from Cygnus olor (mute swan), 369 nucleotides. RefSeq lists it as uncharacterized. The record is from RefSeq and is a predicted model, not a curated record. Lineage: Eukaryota; Metazoa; Chordata; Aves; Anseriformes; Anatidae. The transcript is spliced from 3 exons.